UACGUAGGUGGCAAGCGUUGUCCGGAUUUACUGGGCGUAAAGGGCGUGCAGGCGGUCUGUUAAGUUCAGGGUGAAAGCUCCCGGCUCAACUGGGAGAGGUCCUUGGAUACUGGCGGACUUGAGGGGGGUAGAGGAGAGUGGAAUUCCCGGUGUAGUGGUGAUAUGCGUAGAUAUCGGGAGGAACACCAGUGGCGAAGGCGGCUCUCUGGGCCCUACCUGACGCUGAGACGCGAAAGCGUGGGGAGCGAACCGG
This 253-nucleotide ribosomal RNA is filed under the name uncultured bacterium. RNAcentral describes it as "partial 16S ribosomal RNA". It matches the Rfam family "Bacterial small subunit ribosomal RNA", at positions 524 to 776 of the family's 1533-position model. The record is from RNAcentral.